Chelonus insularis is the source of this 1605-nucleotide RNA transcript. It is a transcript of the gene named Nuclear distribution protein nudE, with no coding region annotated. Lineage: Eukaryota; Metazoa; Arthropoda; Insecta; Hymenoptera; Braconidae. The record is from RefSeq and is a predicted model, not a curated record. The transcript has 8 exons.
AAUCAGGGAUCGCAAUAAUUUUAAAUUCCGAUUCAAUAUCACAUCAUAAAAUUAAGUUCACAAAUACGGAGUUUUAAUAUAUCACGUGAUUAAAUGUGACGCGGAAUUCAUUAGGCAGUAACAUCAUCGUCUGAUUCACAAUUGGUUUUGUAUUGUUUUGGUAGAGGGAUUAGAUUAUUCUUGUACACAUUUGAUAAUGUAAUGUCAACCAACGCAGAUGUGAUCUAAAGAAAAAGUUGUGACAUACCUUUGAAUUAUCGUGGUAGUGCUAGAGUGUAAUUUUUCUGAAUAAGUAUAACAUCCACAGCUGUUAUAACGGAGCAUGAAAAAAAUAAAUUGGAUAAAAUUUUAUUAAUGUAAUUACUCACAAAUCCAAUCAUCAGUAUUGGAAAAAAAAUUAAAGAUAUUUUGUUAUUUUAAUAAUAAUAAAAGUUUUAUUUGAAUAAAUUAUCAAUAUGAUGGAGGUGGAGGUACCCGAGUUUUCAUCAAAAGAUGAUGAGAUUCAGUAUUGGAUGGAGUUGGCACAACAAAUGUAUAAUAGAAAAGAAGAUGUGGAGCAUGAAUUUGAAGAGUUUCAAGAAAGUUCACAAAUGUUAGAAAAAGAAUUAGAAACAUCAUUAGAACAGUCAGAAAAGACAAUCAGAGAACUACGACAAAGGAACUCCAGACUUGCUACAGAAAUUGAGCAAUUAAGAUCCCGUUUAGAUCAACAAGCAUCUGAUUGUUCUGUAUUUCAGACACGUGCUUCUGAGCUUGAAGCACAACAUGAACAACUUUUAAAAUACAUUCGUGAAUUAGAGCAAAAAAAUGACGACUUGGAAAGAGCUCAUAGAAUAAAUCUUGCCUCAGAGGAAGCGAUUGAAGCUAAAUUUCAUUCAGCUAUCGAAAAAAAUGCUUUACUCGAAUCAGAACUUGAUGAAAAAGAAAACCUAAAGGUAUUAGUUCAAAGACUGAUGGACGAAAAUAGAGAUCUUAAACAAGAAAUUAAACACUUGAAAAGACAUAUGACAGAUAAUGAAAAAUCAUCUGAUAAGAUUCGAAACGUGGUGGACAGUAAUAAGCUGCAAGUGGAACUUGAAUCGACUACACCAGUCAUAACACCAUUAUCUCCUCAAAAUAUAUCUACUCAUCCGACUUCACCACCAUUUAAACUUACAAAUGGGGUCAUAAACAACAACAACAAUAACAACAUGAAUAUGCCAAUGUCACCGUCAGCAAAGAUCCAAGCAAUGAACUUGAUUGGCGAUUUAAUGAGAAAAGUCGGACUCGACAGGUGGGUCUGCAUGGAUUGUAGGAGGGUCAAGUGCUCUUGUCAAAGUGAGAAUAAAUCAGAUCUCGCGAAGCCAAAUCCAGUCAAAACAGCAAUUCAAUGUAUUAGUCAACAACCCAAGCCAACCAAGUGCUGAUUCUAUCCUGAUACCUCUUGUUGCACUACUGGCUUUACAUCUUGUUUGAAAAGCAGGCGGUGGAAAAGAAAUUAAAUACCUGCAGAAACGCAUCGCGAGAGGAUCAAGCAAUGAGAGAUUUGUACAGGACUGCCUCAAUUAGAAGACAAGUGCGAACCAUCCCUACAAGAAACAACAACCAUAUAUGACUAUAAAUUGA